GCCCCUCUAGCUCAGUUGGCAGAGCAGAGGAUUCUUAAUCCUCGGGUCCUAGGUUCGAGCCCUAGGGGGGGCA
This 73-nucleotide transfer RNA is filed under the name Planctomycetota bacterium. RNAcentral's name for it is "Planctomycetes bacterium (bioreactor metagenome) tRNA-Lys". It matches the Rfam family "tRNA". Rfam says of the family: Transfer RNA (tRNA) molecules are approximately 80 nucleotides in length. Their secondary structure includes four short double-helical elements and three loops (D, anti-codon, and T loops). Further hydrogen bonds mediate the characteristic L-shaped molecular structure. tRNAs have two regions of fundamental functional importance: the anti-codon, which is responsible for specific mRNA codon recognition, and the 3' end, to which the tRNAs corresponding amino acid is attached (by aminoacyl-tRNA synthetases). tRNAs cope with the degeneracy of the genetic code in two manners: having more than one tRNA (with a specific anti-codon) for a particular amino acid; and 'wobble' base-pairing, i.e. permitting non-standard base-pairing at the 3rd anti-codon position. Lineage: Bacteria; Pseudomonadati; Planctomycetota. The record is from RNAcentral.